RNAcentral lists this ribosomal RNA (69 nucleotides) under Asecodes lineophagum. RNAcentral's name for it is "partial 5.8S ribosomal RNA". RNAcentral also lists the same sequence under 1 other name. The record is from RNAcentral. Lineage: Eukaryota; Metazoa; Arthropoda; Insecta; Hymenoptera; Eulophidae.
AACAUNGACACUUCGAACGCACAUUGCGGUCCACGGAUACGAAUCCCGGACCACGCCUGGCUGAGGGUC